ACAUCCAGCGAACUUGGCAGAGAUGCCUUGGUGCCUUCGGGAACGCUGAGACAGGUGCUGCAUGGCUGUCGUCAGCUCGUGUUGUGAAAUGUUGGGUUAAGUCCCGCAACGAGCGCAACCCUUAUCCUUUGUUGCCAGCGAUCGGUCGGGAACUCAAAGGAGACUGCCGGUGAUAAACCGGAGGAAGGUGGGGAUGACGUCAAGUCAUCAUGGCCCUUACGAGUAGGGCUACACACGUGCUACAAUGGCGCAUACAAAGAGAAGCGACCUCGCGAGAGCAAGCGGACCUCAUAAAGUGCGUCGUAGUCCGGAUCGGAGUCUGCAACUCGACUCCGUGAAGUCGGAAUCGCUAGUAAUCGUGGAUCAGAAUGCCACGGUGAAUACGUUCCCGGGCCUUGUACACACCGCCCGUCACACCAUGGGAGUGGGUUGCAAAAGAAGUAGGUAGCUUAACCUUCGGGAGGGCGCUUACCACUUUGUGAUUCAUGACUGGGGUGAAGUCGUAACAAGGUAGGCGUAGCGAG
RNAcentral lists this ribosomal RNA (524 nucleotides) under uncultured bacterium. RNAcentral describes it as "bacterial SSU rRNA". It matches the Rfam family "Bacterial small subunit ribosomal RNA", at positions 984 to 1509 of the family's 1533-position model. The record is from RNAcentral.